RNAcentral lists this ribosomal RNA (394 nucleotides) under uncultured bacterium. RNAcentral's name for it is "bacterial SSU rRNA". It matches the Rfam family "Bacterial small subunit ribosomal RNA", at positions 358 to 769 of the family's 1533-position model. The record is from RNAcentral.
GGAAUUUUGGACAAUGGGCGAAAGCCUGAUCCAGCGACGCCGCGUGAGUGAUGAAGGCCUUAGGGUUGUAAAGCUCUUUCGGUAGGGAAGAUAAUGACGGUACCUACAGAAGAAGCACCGGCUAACUUCGUGCCAGCAGCCGCGGUAAUACGAAGGGUGCUAGCGUUACUCGGAAUUAUUGGGCGUAAAGCGUGCGCAGGCGGCUUAGAAAGUUGGGAGUGAAAGCCCAGGGCUCAACCCUGGAAUUGCUUUCAAAACUACUAAGCUAGAGUACUGGAGAAGAUAGCGGAAUUCCUAGUGUAGAGGUGAAAUUCGUAGAUAUUAGGAGGAACACCGGAGGCGAAAGCGGCUAUCUGGUCAGAUACUGACGCUGUUGCACGAAAGCGUGGGGAGC